CCUACGGGAGGCUGCAGUCGAGAAUCAUUCACAAUGGGGGAAACCCUGAUGGUGCGACGCCGCGUGGGGGAAUGAAGGUCUUCGGAUUGUAAACCCCUGUCAUGUGGGAGCAAAUUAAAAAGAUAGUACCACAAGAGGAAGAGACGGCUAACUCUGUGCCAGCAGCCGCGGUAAUACAGAGGUCUCAAGCGUUGUUCGGAAUCACUGGGCGUAAGGCGUGCGUAGGCUGUUUCGUAAGUCGUGUGUGAAAGGCGCGGGCUCAACCCGCGGACGGCACAUGAUACUGCGAGACUAGAGUAAUGGAGGGGGAACCGGAAUUCUCGGUGUAGGAGUGAAAUGCGUAGAUAUCGAGGGGAACACUCGUGGCGAAGGCGGGUUCCUGGACAUUAACUGACGCUGAGGCACGAAGGCCAGGGGAGCGAAAGGGAUUAGAUACCCUAGUAGUC
This 446-nucleotide ribosomal RNA is filed under the name uncultured bacterium. Its description in RNAcentral is "partial 16S ribosomal RNA". It matches the Rfam family "Bacterial small subunit ribosomal RNA", at positions 338 to 795 of the family's 1533-position model. The record is from RNAcentral.